GCUUCGGUGGCGAAAUUGGUAGACGCGCUGGAUUCAAAAUCCAGUUCCUUUUGGAGUGUGGGUUCGAUUCCCACCCGAAGUA
This 82-nucleotide transfer RNA is filed under the name Flavobacteriales bacterium. RNAcentral describes it as "tRNA-Leu". It matches the Rfam family "tRNA". Rfam says of the family: Transfer RNA (tRNA) molecules are approximately 80 nucleotides in length. Their secondary structure includes four short double-helical elements and three loops (D, anti-codon, and T loops). RNAcentral also lists the same sequence under 1 other name. The record is from RNAcentral. Lineage: Bacteria; Pseudomonadati; Bacteroidota; Flavobacteriia; Flavobacteriales.